Oryctolagus cuniculus (rabbit) is the source of this 1457-nucleotide long non-coding RNA. NCBI's taxonomy places the organism in Eukaryota, Metazoa, Chordata, Mammalia, Lagomorpha, Leporidae. The record is from Ensembl.
CCACAACCCAGCCUCUAUGCUGUUUAUUUAAUAAAGUUUGCCCCCAGAGAGAGCAAGCGGGAAGCUAAGACAAGAGGCAGAUGGCGCCACGCUUCCCUUUGAGGCUGUUCCCUGACUAGAAAGCUAUGAAAUAUUCAAGACUAUUUUGAGAAAUGACCUUUUUAAUUUUUUUUUAUUUUUAAAGACCAUACUCCCUCUCUUCUUGAUGCUUUUUAGAUGAAGGGAAAACACUUAGGAAUGCAGGGCAUGAGUUUGAAGUUUGCAGCUUAUCAAUGCUGUCAGAGAAGAGACUUUCAAUUCUAACGUCCUUCAUAUUCCACAAGAAUUCUGAAUUCCUCUUUGUCAUUUUUGGUUUAGCAAAAUCACCAGUGCACACUCUCUCUGCACACACACACACACACACACACACACCCUGAUUGUUUUUGAUUUAAUAAUCGAAGCAUAGGCCACUGGGGUCCACGGAGGGUCGAGUGCCGUCCUGGCUGUGCAGCUCCCUUGUGACGUGCAGAACAGGCUCACCCAUCCCGGGGAGGUCAGGGAGAAAAGACUCCUCUGCAUUUCUCCUGCUUUCUUUCCUGCCAGGCAGAGUGCCCCACAACGCUGCUGAUGACUCACUGGAGCUGCCUUCCCACCCUUCCAUGUUUUCAAGUAUCUCCCUGCUCACAAUCACAUUCUGGCACUUGCUGGGCCAGCUCUUGGUGAGUUACUCACACUUUCUUCUGUUCUUUGAGUGCACCCAGUGUGUUCCUGUUCUAGGGGUUCACAUGUCCAUUCCCAGGGCCCCAAUCUCUUCUCUCGGAUUUUCCCGGGGCUGAAUGCUUGGCAGCCUCCGGUCUCACUGAGCUAGAAUGCUCCACCUGGUCACGGACACUUUCCGUGACUGCCUGUGCCAGUGAGGGCACCCAGGGCAAACUGAGCUCACACUGGCCAAAGUAAGACAGAGAUUGACUGGUGGCACAGCAGGCCACCCAGAGGCAGGGAAGAUGGCAGGGUGGCAGACCCAGCAGCUGGUAUUUCAUUCUCUCCAUCUCUCUGCAUCCACAGCAUGGCCUUCAUCUCAAGAUUUAUUUCUCCCAUCAGUGUCAACUGUGCUACAAGCCCCUUCAGUCACAUUUAAGAAGAAACAGAGAGACCUUGGCUUCUUGUUCUUCCUUAAGAGUCUUAGGGUAACUGGAGAUGAGAAGCGAGGAUGCUUGUUGGAAAGCCACACUGAAGGACACAUGCCUCUUCCAGAGCCCGAAGCCAGUUCCAGCUCUCAGGUGGGUUCCCUCCCACCCUCUCACCCCUGGACCUCACAUGACAAUGCUUUCUCUCCUACACGAGUGUGCUGUGGAUCCCGAGAGAAAACUGGGGAUGUUGACAGUAGUGUGGUGGCUCCUCAAAAAAAACUAACAAUAGAUCCACCAUGGUCUCCCUUUGUUGGGUACACAUCUGAAGGAAGUGAACUCAGCAUCUGA